GCCCUUCCCACUUUACAAGGGCUCCUUUGGGACUCAUGUACCUCCUUAAAGGAAUGCAACAGAAAUCAAGCUUACAACUGCAGUACGUUAAAGAACUGUUGUCUCUGGAAAUUAAGACAUGGCUUUUUGGAGCAACAGAAGCCAAAUAAUGAAUAAUUUGACUGGGCCUUGAAGUUUACCUAGGAUUAAGCAAUGUAUGCACG
This 203-nucleotide long non-coding RNA is filed under the name Calidris pugnax (ruff). RNAcentral's name for it is "lncRNA (ENSCPUG00000015748.1)". Lineage: Eukaryota; Metazoa; Chordata; Aves; Charadriiformes; Scolopacidae. The record is from RNAcentral.